CUCUUAUCAAGAGAGGCUGAGGGAUGUGCCCGAUGAAGCCCGGCAACCAUCUUUUUUAGAAAAGGUGCCAAAUCACACAAAGCAAUGUGCUUCGAGAGAUGAGAG
This 105-nucleotide non-coding RNA is filed under the name Domibacillus aminovorans. RNAcentral's name for it is "Bacillus aminovorans SAM-I sequence". It matches the Rfam family "SAM riboswitch aptamer (S box leader)". Rfam says of the family: The SAM riboswitch is found upstream of a number of genes which code for proteins involved in methionine or cysteine biosynthesis in Gram-positive bacteria. The record is from RNAcentral. Lineage: Bacteria; Bacillati; Bacillota; Bacilli; Caryophanales; Bacillaceae.